CAUCGCUCUCUGAAUACCACAUAUAGGGAGUCGAACCUGCCCAGUGAAAAUAUUUUAACGGCCGCGGUACUCUGACCGUGCAAAGGUAGCAUAAUCAUUUGCCUUAUAAUUGAAGGCUAGAAUGAAUGGUCUGACGAAAGCAACACUGUCUCCUAUUUAUUUUUUAGAAUUUGACUUUCAGGUGAAGAGGCCUGAAUUUUAUUGAAGGACAAGAAGACCCUGUCGAGCUUUAAAAAUAAGUAGAAAUAUUUUAUAUCUUAGUAAAUUCAUACCUACUUAUAUUUUUGGUUGGGGCGACCGGGGAACAAAAAAAGCUUCCUGUGUUUCAAAAUACCGAUAGGUUACGACCCAGCUAAGCUGAUUAAAAAACUAAGUUACCGCAGGGAUAACAGCAUAAUCUCUCUUGAGAGACCUAAUCGAAAGGGGGGGUUGUGACCUCGAUGUUGGACUAGAAUAUCCUGAAGAUGCAGAAGUCUUCGAGGGUUGGUCUGUUCGACCAUUAAAAUUCUAC
RNAcentral lists this ribosomal RNA (511 nucleotides) under Turritella rubescens. RNAcentral's name for it is "partial 16S large subunit ribosomal RNA". It matches the Rfam family "Bacterial large subunit ribosomal RNA", at positions 1814 to 2599 of the family's 2925-position model. Lineage: Eukaryota; Metazoa; Mollusca; Gastropoda; Turritellidae. The record is from RNAcentral.